Long non-coding RNA from Lolium rigidum, 445 nucleotides. RefSeq lists it as uncharacterized. Lineage: Eukaryota; Viridiplantae; Streptophyta; Magnoliopsida; Poales; Poaceae. The transcript has 3 exons. The record is from RefSeq and is a predicted model, not a curated record.
GUUGUGCACAUUUUUGGAGCCGUGGCGAUCCAACGCCGAGUUUCCACGGAAGGAGGGAUGCAAGAGAGAAAAGAUAGCAUGAACCAUUCGAACAAAAAUAGGUAUCGAGGAAAGAAAGGAACCAUUUAUUUUCCUUUUGAUCUUUGAUGGUGAAGUUUUUGCAUAUAAUUUGUUGGUGGGAGUUUCCUAAGGCUACUGGUUCUCCUUUGAUUUUGACCUCCGCUUUCUUUUUCCAUACGAUGAUGGGUAUUUGUUUUAAGAGCAGGUUCAUUAUCAGAUAAUGUUGUUCAACAAGGACAAAGGAAAGAUUAUGCAUAGGAAAGACCAAAUGUCAUUACAUUUGGCAUGCUUUCUGUAGUGCAGAGGCUGACUGGAGGAAAGUAACUCUAGCAAUCAACUAAGAAAAUGAGGUUUUAGUUCUACAGCAUUGCUGCCACGUGUGCGG